Molecule: ribosomal RNA, 163 nt
Filed under: Dendrobium devonianum
Lineage: Eukaryota; Viridiplantae; Streptophyta; Magnoliopsida; Asparagales; Orchidaceae
Also listed under: 1 other name
Description: 5.8S ribosomal RNA
Rfam family: 5.8S ribosomal RNA
About the family: 5.8S ribosomal RNA (5.8S rRNA) is a component of the large subunit of the eukaryotic ribosome. It is transcribed by RNA polymerase I as part of the 45S precursor that also contains 18S and 28S rRNA.
Source: RNAcentral
ACAUGACUCUCGGCAAUGGAUAUCUCGGCUCUCGCAUCGAUGAAGAGCGCAGCGAAAUGCGAUACGUGGUGCGAAUUGCAGAAUCCCGUGAACCAUCGAGUCUUUGAACGCAAGUUGCGCCCGAGGCCAACCGGCCAAGGGCACGUCUGCCUGGGCGUCAAGC